UCUGGCAUUUGAUAGUAAUCCCUUUUAUUGUAAAUGUCUCCGCUGGAAGUCAUGGGUCAUUUUGUAUUGUGAAUACAAUCUAACAAUGUGAAUGUGUGUAUGCAAUGUAAAUUGCUAAAUACAUGACUGGUAUAGUGCAUGUAUAUUAUUAUCAAUAAUGCCAUUGUGUUUUGGCUAUGUUCACACCCGGGAAAAGGUGUGUGUGUAUGCAUGAUAUGAUAAAUUUGUUAAGCAAAG
Molecule: long non-coding RNA, 237 nt
Filed under: Theobroma cacao (cacao)
Lineage: Eukaryota; Viridiplantae; Streptophyta; Magnoliopsida; Malvales; Malvaceae
Description: long non-coding RNA (TCAC_LNC001951)
Source: RNAcentral